RNAcentral lists this ribosomal RNA (588 nucleotides) under Salmonella enterica subsp. enterica serovar Rubislaw. RNAcentral's name for it is "partial 23S ribosomal RNA". It matches the Rfam family "Bacterial large subunit ribosomal RNA", at positions 1 to 619 of the family's 2925-position model. The record is from RNAcentral. Lineage: Bacteria; Pseudomonadati; Pseudomonadota; Gammaproteobacteria; Enterobacterales; Enterobacteriaceae.
GGGUUGUGAGGUUAAGCGACUAAGCGUACACGGUGGAUGCCCUGGCAGUCAGAGGCGAUGAAGGGCGUGCUAAUCUGCGAUAAGCGCCGGUAAGGUGAUAUGAACCGUUAUAACCGGCGAUACCCGAAUGGGGAAACCCAGUGUGACUCGUCACACUAUCAUUAACUGAAUCCAUAGGUUAAUGAGGCGAACCGGGGGAACUGAAACAUCUAAGUACCCCGAGGAAAAGAAAUCAACCGAGAUUCCCCCAGUAGCGGCGAGCGAACGGGGAGGAGCCCAGAGCCUGAAUCAGCAUGUGUGUUAGUGGAAGCGUCUGGAAAGGCGCGCGAUACAGGGUGACAGCCCCGUACACAAAAGCGCAUGUGCUGUGAGCUCGAUGAGUAGGGCGGGACACGUGGUAUCCUGUCUGAAUAUGGGGGGACCAUCCUCCAAGGCUAAAUACUCCUGACUGACCGAUAGUGAACCAGUACCGUGAGGGAAAGGCGAAAAGAACCCCGGCGAGGGGAGUGAAAAAGAACCUGAAACCGUGUACGUACAAGCAGUGGGAGCACCCUUUGGGGUGUGACUGCGUACCUUUUGUAUAAUGGG